This 939-nucleotide long non-coding RNA is filed under the name Homo sapiens (human). RNAcentral's name for it is "HSALNT0208754". The record is from RNAcentral. Lineage: Eukaryota; Metazoa; Chordata; Mammalia; Primates; Hominidae.
GGAAUUUCUCCAGACAAGUUAAAAAAACAAAGGCUUCAACAUCAGGAACAGCACCAGUUUGAUUACAAUACCUUUAGCACAUGGCAUUAGCCAAUGCAGACACCUAAAAUGAACAAUACUAACAAUAAAUAGCAACAGUGAUACAAUUAUAGCAGAGAUUUAAAAUGCUAAGAAAAAACUAAUAACAAAGUUAGCCAAUGAAUAUAAACUUUUAAUUAAAAGACUUACUAGAAGAGGACAACUUGCAAAUAUAUUUCAUAAAAGACCUAUAACCAUUAGAGAAAUUGAAUUGGUCUACACCAGUAUUUCUCAACUUUGUUACCAUUGAUGAUUUGGACUAAUAAUUGUUUGUUUUCAGAAGCUGCCCUAUACAUUGUGGGAUAUUGAGCAGUGUAUCUGGUCCCUAUUCACUAGAUGCCUGUAGCAGCCUCACAGUUGUGAUAAUUUUGUCUCCAAUUCUCACGGAUGACUGAGGGGUUCAAGACUUCAGUGGAGGAAGUAACAGCAGAUGUGGUGGAGAUAGCAAGAGAACUGAAUUACAAGUGGAGCCUGAAGAUGGGACUGAAUUGCUGCAAUCUAAUGGUCAAACAUGAAUGGAUGAAGAGUUGCUUCUUUUGGAUGAGCAGUGAAAGUUGCUCCUUGAGAAGGAAUCUACUCUUGGUGAAGAUGCUGUGAACAUUGUUGAAAUGACAAGAAAGGAUUUAGAGUAUUCCAUAAACUUAGUUGGUAAAUCACCAGCAGGGUUUGAGAGGAUUGACUCCAGUUUUGAAAAAAGUUCUACUGUGAGUAAAAUGCUUUCAAACAGCAUCACAUGCUACAGAGAAAUCUUUUGUAAAAGGUAGAGUCCAUUUACGUGGCAAAAUUCAUUGUUGUGUUAUUUUAAGAAAUGACCACAGCCACUCCAUCCUUCAGCAAUCACUACCCUGAUUUGUCAGCAAC